UGGCUAGUUGGUCAAGCGGUUAAGACGUCGCCCUCUCACGGCGAAAACAGGGGUUCGAUUCCCCUACUAGCUGU
Molecule: transfer RNA, 74 nt
Filed under: uncultured Clostridium sp.
Lineage: Bacteria; Bacillati; Bacillota; Clostridia; Eubacteriales; Clostridiaceae
Description: tRNA-Glu(ctc)
Rfam family: tRNA
About the family: Transfer RNA (tRNA) molecules are approximately 80 nucleotides in length. Their secondary structure includes four short double-helical elements and three loops (D, anti-codon, and T loops).
Source: RNAcentral